GAGUUUGAUUAUGGCUCAGAUUGAACGCUGGCGGCAUGCUUUACACAUGCAAGUCGAACGGCAGCACGGAAGAGCUUGCUCUUUUGGUGGCGAGUGGCGAACGGGUGAGUAAUACAUCGGAACGUACCGAGUAGUGGGGGAUAACUGUCCGAAAGGAUGGCUAAUACCGCAUAUUCUCUGAGGAGGAAAGCAGGGGACCUUCGGGCCUUGCGCUAUUUGAGCGGCCGAUGUCUGAUUAGCUAGUUGGUGGGGUAAAGGCCUACCAAGGCGACGAUCAGUAGCGGGUCUGAGAGGAUGAUCCGCCACACUGGGACUGAGACACGGCCCAGACUCCUACGGGAGGCAGCAGUGGGGAAUUUUGGACAAUGGGGGGAACCCUGAUCCAGCCAUGCCGCGUGUCUGAAGAAGGCCUUCGGGUUGUAAAGGACUUUUGUCAGGGAAGAAAAGCUUGAGGUUAAUACCCCUUGAGUGAUGACNG
Molecule: ribosomal RNA, 478 nt
Filed under: Neisseria animaloris
Lineage: Bacteria; Pseudomonadati; Pseudomonadota; Betaproteobacteria; Neisseriales; Neisseriaceae
Description: bacterial SSU rRNA
Rfam family: Bacterial small subunit ribosomal RNA
Source: RNAcentral